RNAcentral lists this long non-coding RNA (811 nucleotides) under Marmota monax (woodchuck). The record is from RNAcentral. Lineage: Eukaryota; Metazoa; Chordata; Mammalia; Rodentia; Sciuridae.
CUUGUGGGGAUGCUGGAAGGUCCCAGGCUUACAGAAUGAACCUGGACAGUGGAAGCUGAGUGCCAGGGAGGAAGGACCAUUAAUGAGCCAUGCUUUUUAUCUAAGCCAGUCUCCAGGAGAAUCCCAGAAGCCAGGGAGGAGUUAGUGAAAAGGGAACAAAGUGGGCAGGAAAGAUGUUUGCUGUGCAGGGAGUGGCAGCUCUGGGUCAAAUGGCUAGUGCAGCUGGUUUGGAAGGUCUAACUGCCAGCUCCCAGGGAUAGCCCUGACUCCCACAUGUUGGGCCAUUCCCUGACCCAGGCCCUUAAUUCAGCAGAUUCCAGCAUUCCAGGGUUCACCAAGAGAGGACUUCUGUGUAGAUUAUGUCCCAGAAAGCUAGACCGCUUUGCUUGUGCAGCAUCUGUAGCUCCCAGAGUGGAUACAGACCAUGAUGCUGAGCCCCAUGGGAAUCUGAGAUCCCAUGUAAAGAGGUGUUAUGAAGCUACCCUCCAGCCUCUGGGAAGGGGUGGAUUCCUGAACCAGGAAGAGGCCAGAGGUGGAGUGCAGGGCAGCCUUCCAGCCUGGGCCCAGACAGAGGAGACCAGGAGUCAAGAUGGACGUGAGGAGAUGGCAUUCAUGGUUGCUGACAACGAGCAAAUGAUAUCUGGGACUGGGAGAAGGGUUGAGACUAUCCCACAUAAGCCACCCAUUCCAUCUGGGACAUCAAGGCAGGCUAACCUUGCAACUGAAAUCAGUGUGAUAUGAAAAUCAAAUGAGUAACUGGAUUUUAAAGAAGUGACUGUGGGGCCUGGGUUUGUGACUCAGCGAUAGAGCG